This 510-nucleotide ribosomal RNA is filed under the name uncultured bacterium. Its description in RNAcentral is "partial 16S ribosomal RNA". It matches the Rfam family "Bacterial small subunit ribosomal RNA", at positions 28 to 507 of the family's 1533-position model. The record is from RNAcentral.
GACGAACGCUGGCGGCGUGCUUAACACAUGCAAGUCGAACGAAGAGCGAUGGAAGCUUGCUUCUAUCAAUCUUAGUGGCGAACGGGUGAGUAACGCGUAAUCAACCUGCCCUUCAGAGGGGGACAACAGUUGGAAACGACUGCUAAUGCCGCAUACGAUCUGACCUCGGCAUCGAGGAUAGAUGAAAGGUGGCCUCUAUUUAUAAGCUAUCACUGAAGGAGGGGAUUGCGUCUGAUUAGCUAGUUGGAGGGGUAACGGCCCACCAAGGCGAUGAUCAGUAGCCGGUCUGAGAGGAUGAACGGCCACAUUGGGACUGAGACACGGCCCAGACUCCUACGGGAGGCAGCAGUGGGGAAUCUUCCGCAAUGGACGAAAGUCUGACGGAGCAACGCCGCGGGAGUGAUGACGGCCUUCGGGUUGUAAAGCUCUGUUAAUCGGGACGAAAGGCCUUCUUGCGAAUAGUUAGAAGGAUUGACGGUACCGGAAUAGAAAGCCACGGCUAACUACGUG